UGGAUACUGCUCUGUUUUUAAUUGAUUCUAAUGUUUUAAAGCAGGGAUUCCCAAGCUGCGACCAGGGGGUGCGCGAGAGGAAAAAUAUAAUGGCGGUCAGUUUUUUUAAGUGGGAUUUUUUCAUUGACAUAUAUAAAAGGAUUUUUCCAUACAAUAAAAAAGCAUAAAAAAACAGCUGCUGUCUUCUUCUAGUCACGAAGGAGGAGAGGGACCAAGAGAGAGAGAGGAUUUGGAGGCAACAGAGACGGAGAGGAUAGAGACAGAAAAUUAGCGGGAGUCAGAAGAUGCACGGGAGGAAACCGAAGAGCAGGUGCAAAGCUGGACAUUAGCAGCAGUGGUACCCCUGGCCUGAUGGGGGCGCUGCUGAAGGCACAAGUCCUGGACGCAGUGGGGCCGACGCUGAGCGAUGUCCCGGCCCUGGGCUCUUUGCUGGUGCUGCAUUCUGUCCGGGUGGCUAGGAGGCUCCUUGAGCUGUGGAACCAGAGGCUGACAGGGGAGAAAAGUAGCCGCCUCACAGACUACAGCCAGAGAGAAGUGGAGCCAGACCCUGCAGACCCCUUCCACAAGAUCUACCUGAGCCCAGGGCUAGGGGAACUCACCGCCCCCUUGCUCGCUACAACAUGCCCCGAAGCAUUGACAUUGCACGAAGCAGAUAAGAAGACUAUGUAUUUUAACUGUGUGAAGGGCAUAAACAGGUCCAGAUUGUGCAACAAGCUGGAGGAUUUUAUACAAACCUCCCCUCAAGAAACGGACUGCCGACUUCCAGUGGAGAAUUUUACACGGUGCUGUCGCCUCCAAUGCUUUUAUUUCUGUUAUUAACCCCACUGUUUUGAGCAAGUGCCUCUUCUGUGAGCUUAGAGAGACUAUUUAUCAUGUUUUUACUGAGUGGAAGAGACUUGCAAGUUUCUUCUCUCUUUUAACAUUGGUUUUCAGUCUUCUCAAUGUGGUUUUUACAGAAAAGUUUUUAUUAUGAGAGCUGCCUUGAAGAAA
Long non-coding RNA from Gasterosteus aculeatus aculeatus (three-spined stickleback), 990 nucleotides. NCBI's taxonomy places the organism in Eukaryota, Metazoa, Chordata, Actinopteri, Perciformes, Gasterosteidae. The record is from Ensembl.